CAGCCCCCAGGGAUGCUCUCCUGAGGGCCACACUGGCCAGCAGGACCCCCUGGGAGGUGGGACCCCAGCCCUAAGGCAGAGCACCUGUGGCAGGAUGGGCUCUGGGGGGAGACGGGGCACGGAGCACCCCAAAAUGCCCCAUCCUGGCCACUCCAGUGGCUCCCUGUGCAGGGAGGGGCAGGUCAGACAUGAGCCAGCUCUCUGGGAGCUUGAAGGGCUUUGGUAGGCACAGGUUUUCCCUCCAGAAGGGUUUUUUCCUAAAGCUGCUGGGAAGGGAGGUGGAGAGCAGCUCGGGGAUGCAGCCACAUCCACAGCCUGCUUCAGGCUCCUGGAUGCUGGGAAGCUGCAUCAGGAGGGAGAGGCAGAUUUUUAAGGCUUAGUCCCAUUUGCAUGCCAGGUGGAUGCAGACAGCAUCCUUCCUACCCGAGCAGGGAGCUCCACUGUUCCUCCCACUGGAACACUGGAGUUCCUGUUUCCCUCACCUCCACCUGGGCACUGUGUGGAGAGGGAGUGUUAGUGCUGGUUUGGAGAGAAAAUUGUGGAUUUUAGCAAACAACGUCCAUAAAAGCAUUUUAGAAAUGUGUUCCCAUUGCACAUGGGCCAAAGCUUUAAAUCAGGAAAAUGGGAAGAAAUUAUAUCUUUACUGAAAGAUGCAAGUGAAGUAAUGAGAUUUUGCCUGAAGGUUUCUAGGCCUCGAAAGGCAACAGUGAGCUGUGCAGAAAAUCUCCUUGAGCAGUGAUUUAGGGGAAGGAAAAAGGAAAAACCCAGGAAUUUCCUCAUGUUGCCACUUGCUCUGGCAGUUUCCCAGGGAUGGGUGUUGGCACCCUGAUCCCAAAAUGCAUCAACCUACUCGUGGUUGGGGGCUUUGGAGGAGAAGGGGCCGUUCUGGCUGGCAUAGCCAUUAGGGAUGGGCUUUCUCCCUGCAGGAGGGCCCAGCAGAGCAGCUGGCUCAGAGACCCCGGCGAGGAGUUGGCAGCGGAGACCCCCCGGUGCUCGAUGCCCUCAGGAGGGGGAAAAACCAAAAAAACCCCAUUUUUGCUCAUGAACUUCACGCCCUGACUCCCAAGUUCACACUUCUGCCUGGAAGCUGAGAGGCUGGAAACCACAGAAUGCAAGAG
Molecule: long non-coding RNA, 1118 nt
Filed under: Serinus canaria (Common canary)
Lineage: Eukaryota; Metazoa; Chordata; Aves; Passeriformes; Fringillidae
Description: lncRNA (ENSSCAG00000014477.1)
Source: RNAcentral